AUGGUCUUGUUUGCUUACCGGUUUCAGUCACAUUUGGGGUGUGAAAGGUUUAUUUUACCUCCUCGGUCUUGUGACACCCAGCGAACAGCCUCUGAGGAUGCAGCCACGUGGCUCCAUGUUCUGUGUCCUGAAUACCAGCAACGUGCUAACCCCAGGACACACAGUCCUCACAGAGGCACCUGCUUGGGUGACAGAUGGCAUGAAAUCGGAGAGAUGACAGCCUGGGGAGUCAGAUGAUGGUGUCUGAAGGCAAGAGGCCAGAGUUCUCAACUGCCCUCUGGUUCUCCGUUGGGUCAUCUCUGCACCAGACCCGCCCUUAUCCAACCUCCUUCGGAAGGGCCUGAGGAAACUGGCCAGACCAGACCUCCAUGCCACUGGCUGUCCCUGGCAAGAAUAAGCCGAUCCAACUUAUUCCUAUAUCUCCAGUAGCACCCAAGGACCCUGGAGGGUCUCAGCCUCGUUCAGCUCCCACAACUUUUGUGUUCUUGGGUGGCUUCCAUCACCUGCCAGUCUCAAGUUUUCCUAAUCGUGUGUAAUGGGCUGGGGGGGGGGGUGGUUCUGGUACAAAACUACACAUACCUACCUGAGGUAAUUGUAGAUUCACAUGCAGUUGUAAGAAAUAAUAGAGCUCCCUUAUACGCUUUGCCUAGCUUCCCCCAAUGCUAACUUUUGCAAAACUAUAGUGGAAGAUCACAACCAGGAUACUGAUACCGGUAAAAUCCAUCCACCUUAUUCACAUUUCUCCAGUGCGUGACAUUGUAACUAACAGACCACGCAAGCUUUCAAAUUCACCGGUGUUGCGAGUUGCUUGUGACCCAGGGGGACUGCACCGCCCUGCUCCACCCGUGCCCCUGCAAACCACGAAAAGGUUAACGGGGCUUUUAACAGGGCAUCGCAUGUCAUCGGUUAAUCCGCACACCAGCCUGUUUUACAGACGUUAAGACUGAGGCGCAGAGAAGGGUGGGUGGGUAAGUGGGCCCAGGUCCCACGGCCGGGCAGGACCUAAGCCGGGCUUGCCUACUCUAUCUACCCUCUGAGCACAGCCUAGGGGGCCACUAGGAGGCUUGGAAGGCUAAAUAAACAUAAUGGAGACCUUGUGGGCCUGGGGCAGGGUCCGGCCGUGAAGGGAAGAGCAGCCAGCCGCCCCACGCCGCGGCUUGGCCCUACACCGGAGCUCCACCCAGAAGCUUGAGCAAGCCGGACGUCACACCUUCCCCGGCCACCUGAGCUCCCCG
This 1235-nucleotide long non-coding RNA is filed under the name Lynx canadensis (Canada lynx). RNAcentral describes it as "lncRNA (ENSLCNG00005004676.1)". The record is from RNAcentral. Lineage: Eukaryota; Metazoa; Chordata; Mammalia; Carnivora; Felidae.